Myotis davidii is the source of this 462-nucleotide long non-coding RNA. RefSeq lists it as uncharacterized. The record is from RefSeq and is a predicted model, not a curated record. Lineage: Eukaryota; Metazoa; Chordata; Mammalia; Chiroptera; Vespertilionidae. The transcript is spliced from 3 exons.
UCACUGGCAGUUACAUUCAGUAGCGUCUCUUUUUUGUGUGCAUUAUUUUGGGGAAUUUUUAUUAAAAAUAUAAAAAUAAUGCUGCACAAAACAAAGCUAUAAAUCUUCAACUAUCACAGAAAUUUAUUUCAAAAAGAGCGAAACAUUCUGCUUAAGAUAUCGACGUGACAGCUAACACAAGGAUUGCAGUGGAUUGAAAGCAGGAAUAUGCAUUUUAUUCAAUACCAGAGGCUGUUUGCAGAUCCACUCUUCAUUAUGCAAAAACCCUUGUCACACAGACAGCAGUUUUUGACAGUGGCCUGGUCUGUGUCUGUUUUGAGAUGGAGAAGGUGAGAAAAUGUCCAGACUGGACAGACAUCAGACUCUUUCUGCUGGAGGUGCUGGGAGGCGCAUCCUGGAAAUUAGAAGGGAUAUGAGAUUUGAGCUCCAGGUUUAAUACAGGAUGACGUAAGUGGGUUAACU